This 224-nucleotide ribosomal RNA is filed under the name uncultured bacterium. RNAcentral describes it as "partial 16S ribosomal RNA". It matches the Rfam family "Bacterial small subunit ribosomal RNA", at positions 28 to 253 of the family's 1533-position model. The record is from RNAcentral.
GACGAACGCUGGCGGCGUGCUUAACACAUGCAAGUCGAGCGGUAAGGCCCUUUCGGGGGUACACGAGCGGCGAACGGGUGAGUAACACGUGGGUGACCUGCCCUCAGCUCUGGGAUAAGCCUGGGAAACCGGGUCUAAUACUGGAUAUGACUCCAUGACGCAUGCUGUGGGGUGGAAAGCCUUGUGCGGCUGAGGAUGGGCCCGCGGCCUAUCAGCUUGUUGGU